AUGCUAUAUUUGCCAAAAAACCUGGGAAAAAGAAAUGGCGCUGUACGGCCCGAAGUGAUGCGAUUCCCUAAUGCUAGUGAAGUAGAAAGGGCAUGUUGUUAUGGGAAACGCUUACCUCUGAAAGAGGGGAAUAUUGUUGUCUGUAUUACUCCUUGGACUGCCUCGAUUGGAGCUAAAGGCAUCAUGGAAAAAGCAUGGGUUAGGGUACGCAACAUUCUAAUAGAGAAAAGAUGCACUGAACAUAUAGCUUAUGCUGGGGCCCUGGUGGGAAUUACAUUAGAAGUUGAUGAAUCGACUGUGCAUAAACCUGAAUAUGCUAGAAUCCUUCUUGGCUGUAGAGAUGUUGAGAAAAUUCCUCCUUCAGCUGAAGGGAUGCUGGGAGAACAGUAUUAUGAUUUCUUUUAUGAAGUUGAAAAAGUUGUGACUAUGGGUGCUGAGAAAAGUCAAUCUUAUACUGCUGUGGAUAGCAGUGCAUCUCCUUCCUUCCCCAAGAAAGCAACGAUGGACUCAUAUCCUGCUUCUUCCAUGGGGCAGGGAGAGACGAGUGUAUCCAUGGCUGGUAAUUUCUCCUCCCAGAAUUAUGAUAAGGGCAUGUAG
RNAcentral lists this ribosomal RNA (597 nucleotides) under Triticum aestivum (bread wheat). RNAcentral describes it as "partial small subunit ribosomal RNA". Lineage: Eukaryota; Viridiplantae; Streptophyta; Magnoliopsida; Poales; Poaceae. The record is from RNAcentral.